AGGCGGAAUCGCUAGUAAUCGCGGAUCAGCAUGCCGCGGUGAAUACGUUCCCAGGCCUUGUACACACCGCCCGUCACACCAUGGGAGUUGGAUUCACCCGAAGGUGGUGCGCUAACCUUUUAGGAGGCAGCCAACCACGGUGGGUUCAGCGACUGGGGUGAAGUCGUAACAAGGUAGCCGUAGGGGAACCUGCGGCUGGAUCACCUCCUUU
This is a non-coding RNA of 211 nucleotides. It matches the Rfam family "Bacterial small subunit ribosomal RNA", at positions 1324 to 1533 of the family's 1533-position model.